GUCUUAUUGAAAAAUAAUUUUAAGUCAAUCUGCCCAAUGAAAAAUUUUAAUGGCUGCAGUAUACCUGACUGUACAAAGGUAGCAUAAUCAAUUGGUUUUUAAAUGAAAUCUGGUAUGAAAGGAUUAAUGAAAUAUAUACUGUCUCAUAUUUAUUUAUUGAAUUUAAAAUUUUAAUAAAAAUGUUAAAAUUUAUUUAUGGGACGAUAAGACCCUAUAGAAUUUUAUAUUAAAUUAUAUUUAUUUAAGUAAAUUUUAAUUUAAUAUUUAGUUGGGAGAAUUAUUAAAUUUAAAAAAUUUUAAUUUAUAAAAACUUAAAUUAAAGAAAAAUUGUUGAUUUUAAAUUUUAAAUUAUUAGAAUAAAUUACCUUAGGGAUAACAGCGUAAUAUUUUUUUAUAGAUCAUAUAGAAAAAAAUGAUUGCGACCUCGAUGUUGAAUUAAGAUAAAUUUUAAAUGCAGAAGUUUAAUAAUUAAGUCUGUUCGACUUUUAAAAUCUUACAUGAUUUGAGUUCAAAUCGACGUAAGU
Molecule: ribosomal RNA, 524 nt
Filed under: Nogueirapis mirandula
Lineage: Eukaryota; Metazoa; Arthropoda; Insecta; Hymenoptera; Apidae
Description: partial 16S ribosomal RNA
Rfam family: Bacterial large subunit ribosomal RNA (bases 372-524)
Source: RNAcentral